This is a long non-coding RNA of Heterocephalus glaber (naked mole-rat), 559 nucleotides long. The record is from Ensembl. Lineage: Eukaryota; Metazoa; Chordata; Mammalia; Rodentia; Bathyergidae.
UUCCGGUGUCCACUUGGAAGGGGAAGCCCUCUCUAAAGCCUUGGCACCUUUGGGGACAGCUACAUAUGUUGGGGGCUUUACUUCCCUCUCUCCUCAUCCUAACCAGUGUGGGGAGAUAGCAAAUCCUCCUCUACCUCUGGGGACACAGCAAGCUGGGAAUGGAAAAGAGGGAGAGGAAGAAAACACACGAACAACUUUGGUGCCUACUCCUCCCUUUCAUCCGACCCCUGUUUGGAAACGAAUGAAGCAACACCCACCAGUGGACUUCCAGCUCCACACCCCACAAGCCCAAAUCAGGGCACCAGUCACCCAGAGGCCACUGACAUGCUUACCGGUCUUGGCUGAAAAUCUGGAAAGAUGGAAUUGAAGAAAGAAAGAUUUCCCAACGCAGUAAGCGACACCUCGCCCUGAAAAAAGCUCGGCACAAAGCGGGGUGAAAGUUGAAGAGGGAAUGAGCUUGUAAUAGUGCCUCGCCAGACCUCACACAUGCUGAAGGAUAUUUACAGCAAACGUGCCAAAGUAAACUACCCCGCCUACCCACCACCAUGCCCCCUCCUCG